RNAcentral lists this ribosomal RNA (465 nucleotides) under Vreelandella stevensii. Its description in RNAcentral is "partial 16S ribosomal RNA". It matches the Rfam family "Bacterial small subunit ribosomal RNA", at positions 338 to 795 of the family's 1533-position model. Lineage: Bacteria; Pseudomonadati; Pseudomonadota; Gammaproteobacteria; Oceanospirillales; Halomonadaceae. The record is from RNAcentral.
CCUACGGGUGGCUGCAGUGGGGAAUAUUGGACAAUGGGCGAAAGCCUGAUCCAGCCAUGCCGCGUGUGUGAAGAAGGCCUUCGGGUUGUAAAGCACUUUCAGUGGGGAAGAAAGCCUUGGGGCUAAUACCCUCGAGGAAGGACAUCACCCACAGAAGAAGCACCGGCUAACUCCGUGCCAGCAGCCGCGGUAAUACGGAGGGCGCGAGCGUUAAUCGGAAUUACUGGGCGUAAAGCGCGCGUAGGCGGUCUGAUAAGCCGGUUGUGAAAGCCCCGGGCUCAACCUGGGAACGGCAUCCGGAACUGUCAGGCUAGAGGGCAGGAGAGGAAGGUAGAAUUCCCGGUGUAGCGGUGAAAUGCGUAGAGAUCGGGAGGAAUACCAGUGGCGAAGGCGGCCUUCUGGACUGACACUGACGCUGAGGUGCGAAAGCGUGGGUAGCAAACAGGAUUAGAUACCCCUGUAGUC